Molecule: ribosomal RNA, 461 nt
Filed under: uncultured bacterium
Lineage: Bacteria
Description: partial 16S ribosomal RNA
Rfam family: Bacterial small subunit ribosomal RNA
Source: RNAcentral
CCUACGGGGGGCAGCAGUGAGGAAUAUUGGUCAAUGGCCGUAAGGCUGAACCAGCCAAGUCGCGUGAAGGAAGAAGGAUCUAUGGUUUGUAAACUUCUUUUAUAGGGGAAUAAAGGUAUCCACGUGUGGAUAUUUGCAUGUACUCUAUGAAUAAGCAUCGGCUAACUCCGUGCCAGCAGCCGCGGUAAUACGGAGGAUGCGAGCGUUAUCCGGAUUUAUUGGGUUUAAAGGGUGCGUAGGUUGUUUUUUAAGUCAGCGGUGGAAGUUUGUGGCUCAACCAUAAAAUUGCCGUUGAAACUGGGAGACGUGAGGGUGUGUGAGGUAGGCGGAAAGCGUGGUGGAACGGGGAAAUGCAUAGAAAUCACGCAGAACUCCGAUUGCGAAGGCAGCUUACUAAGCCAUAACUUACACUGAAGCACGAAAGCGGGGGGAUCAAACAAGAUUAGAUACCCCUUGUAGUC